CACAGAGCCUGAAGCAGGCUCCAGGCUCUGAGCUGUCAGCACAGAGCCCAAUGUGGGGAUCGAAUUGGUGAACGGGAAGCUCAUGACCUGAGCUGAAGUCCGCCGCUAAACCAACUGAGCCACCCAGGCCCCCCUCAUUUGAUCUUCAGGACAGUGAUUGAGGGCAUUACUACCACCCACUUUUUACUGAGCACUCUGUCCACACUGACACAGCUAGUACGCCACAGGGCAGGGUUCAGAACGAUGCGAUUCCACAGCCCCUGUGCGGUCUGACCAUUCGGGUGCUCCACAAACACAGCUCGGUGGGGAGAGAGGGCAGGAGCCCCAAGGAAGAGCAAUCCCUCACAGUGGGGGUGGGGAGAAGUUCUGAGCCUGGCUUUUACUUACUGGGAAGAUUUCAACAGGUCUAGGUGAGGGAGGUACCGAGCUCGGCCAGAGGGGAGGGCUGGGGCACCUAGUCUCAAAGGUGAGACCAGCAGAGCUGGGUGGGAGGACUGCAGGAGGUGUGGCGGGAGCUUCGUGGCCUGAAAGAAAGGGCCAGGCCCAGUGGGAAUGCCACGCCCCAGUUUGGAGUUCUUCCUUCCAGAUCCCGGCCUCUAAAUGCAAUUCCAUUUAAGGGCAACCCAGCCUGGUUCACACCUAGCCUUGGAGAUGACAGAUUGCCCUGUGGUCAAUUUGCGGGGUGAGAAUGGGAGCCUCCGACUCUGCACCUGCACUGCCAGCGCCAUAAAGGAAGUCAAUCAUUUCCCAUAAAAUGUCACCACUGCUGAGGUGCAAUUUACAAGGGGGUCCUCUGCAGACGGAAAUACACCACGGAAAGCGACCCCUAGAUUUUCAAAUUCACUGCCGCGAGGCGCGGGGAGGAAGGCCCGGGUGCAGAGUGGAGGAGGGACCAGGGAGCCACCCCCCCUUUUUUUUGCCCUCGGCUCCCUGCUUUGUAACCGGCUCUGCCACGUGGUAAAAGCUUCCGGGGGUGGGAGGGCGGCCUCAAUUAUUUCUGCCUGAGAUGUGCUGGACCAAACGUAAACAGCGGAGGAGCGGGAGCCGGGAGCCCGGAGUCGAGGCUGGGCAGGGCUGCAGCGACCCUGCUGCCGCCGCCGCCGCCGCCGCGGAGCCUGAGCUCCGAGCUGCCGCGGCGCCUGCGAGCCGCCCCUCCCCCGCCGGGCCUGCGAGCCCAUUUUCGCUUGGCCGGUCCCCGCGCUGCCGGAUGGAUUGCGCCCCACCCCCGCUCCUCUGCUCAGUCAUUCAGACUUGGAAAGUCAAUAACACGCUGACAUCAUCAGGGGUUUGUGUAUUAUUACACGGCUACUUUCCAGAGUACCUGGCAUUAUCUAAGAGAGGAGCACUGCGGCUGCCCAAGAAAGGGCCCGGACGCGGGGCAAGCUGGCCUCUGGAGGGGUGGCUGCCCGGAGCCAGGCCUUUCCUCCGUGGGGAGCGUCUUCAGGGCACCGAUUAGAAACAGAUUAUGAGCUUUUGCUGCCCUAAAUGCAGAUGCACUUUAGAUAUCGAUACAUGCUUCAUUUUGGCUUGGGGUGCACUUAUAAAUCAUUCUUAAGUGACCUCUAUUUCUACCAAAGACAUCCACUUGGUCUUUAAGGAGGAUUUUUAGUGAUCUUCACAAAGGAAAAAAGGAAAAGGCAUUUUUUAUGACAGGAAGCCAAAGGCUGAUUCUUUUGAGACUCUUGGGGUUUUUUUUUGUGUGUGUGUGUGCAAUUCUCUAUUAUGUAAUCUCCAUCACGGGUGAUUAGGUCUUCUCUUUCCCUCCAGGGCUGGACUGGGUGGUUUGGUUGCUGUGUUUUUCUUAAGCCUCAUGCAGAGCAAACACACACAUAGAAAACAUGUCCCAGAUUUAUGGUGCAAAACUGCUCUCCAAGCAAAUUGCCUUAGAAGAGUGUCUCAAUUUGAAGGAGGGAAAUAGAUGAAUUUGUUGUUAAUUAAGACUCCUUAUCUUCCUAUUCUGGCAUUUCCUUUUCCUAGAAUGAGUUUUUAAAAAUAAUUUUAUGUAUUUUAGAUGUUCUCUUUCCUCCCCACCUAUUAUGAUACUUGUAAUAGCUUCAAUAACUAUAGAUUGUAUAGAUUAUUGAUACUUUUGUUCUGUUAAUACAUACCCACGCCAGUUAAAAUACUACAACUCAAUAACUCACACAACAUAGUACCUUUUCUGUCUGGCCAAAAACACUAGUUCCUUCUUUACCCACACAGGGCAGAUCUCCUUUAAAUUUUCUUAGUAUCUUAAAUUACAGAAAAUGUCAGCCAGGCCCAAAUUGGCUACCUGCAGAAUUGCAGGGUGAGAGUAGUUCUGCAUCAGCCUGAUCUCAUCUCUCUGUAUCUCAGGCAGGGAAAGAUCACUGAUUGACAUAGAAGUCUUUAGCCUCCCGGGGAGAGAGCAAGGGAGCCCUGUUUCUCAACAAUGUAACAAUUUCCCUCUGUGUGCUUGGUCAUUUCAGAAGAAUCUGUAGUAGAUUGUGACCACUUCCCUCCAGAUGGUCUGAAAAAAACUCCCCCACCAGGUUGCACUUCUAAAAUCACCUCCCCAGGCCUGUGCUAUAGUCCUCCCUCCCCACCCCCAAGCUUGCUGCGGGAAAUUCCCCUUCGUAGCUGCCUGCAGCUGCUGAGGUCCUGUGUGCAGCCCUCCAAGAUGGUUCAGUAGGUGUUGGGUCUGCGGAGCUUGAAGCUGCUAAAGGAAGGAUGGAGGGGGGUGUGGGAGUGAGCUCUCAGGCAGCCCAUGGACUAUUUACUUCUGGGGCUUUCCCUCAGCCCUGUACAGAGGAGCCUGCUGAUCUGUGUUCAUGCCCCAGGGCAGUGUACCACAGUAAGACUGGCAAAAGGUGAAAGGUGCUGGACUAGGAUCUGUGGGUUACAAAGCAGCAAAUUGAUCUGGACUUGGUGCUUAAAGUAUGUGGGAGGGCAGAAUGAAUCCUUGAUGGUAGACCCAGAGAAGGCAUCAGCCUUCAUCCCAUGAAACCCACCAAACCGAAAGAAAAAGAGGGGAUGUGACUUCUUGAAGAUCGUGCAUAUGGAAACCUCUGACUUAUAAAGGAAACAUAUAUUUUAUAAGGAGCAUUGAUCUGAGGUUUUCUCUUGGGGGAGAACUGUGCUUGGAGUACUUUGAUGACCUGUCCACAAUGGAAAGAGAAAUCCCAAAGGCUUACUUAAAUAGCCAAAGAUGAUUCCUGAACUGCUAUGCAUAGGCCAAGAAGAGAAAUAUGCGUUGUUCCUAAAGAGAUUGGACGAAGGUGCGGUGGGACUGGGGAAUGUAUUGAUGACACAGGUAUUAUAUCCUUAGGGCAAAUAUUACUCUUAGAACAGUGGAAAUGAAGACUUGGAGAGCACGUGUCAGACUUGGGGGGAUGGAAUCAAGACUCAGACAGAUUCUGCAUGACUUCCUAGCUUAUGAUCCUUCAACCAGAAUCCAUUACCCAAGAUGGACUUCAGCCAAGCUUCUCAGCCUACAGCACUAAUGUGUAACUUCAUAAACCAUGCCCAAGGCACGUCCUAUCAAGUCUGCCUGACAAUAGCUCCCACAUUCUGUCAGAUGAUGGCCUUCUUCAGGAAACCUCUCCAUCCAAAUGAAACCUCUCCAUCCAAAAGUUGGGUGAAUAAAAGUGCCUGUGAAAGAAUCUUCUUCUCUUAACAGGGCCCCUGUCAUAAGGAAACCUGGGAGAGCGAAGAAAGGCCUGAUUGAUCACAAGGUCCUAUCAAAUGUCAAAGCUGGCCCUGGCUGACCUCCCAUCUAUUCAGAGCUGCUUUGAUUUAAUCUCCAAACUGGCUGCUUCUCUAGGCUAGAAGAAGAUUGAAAGUUUCAAUAAAGAAAGGUGAUGAUAAUGUCUUCCUGGAACCCUUGGCUAAGAUGGAUUGGCAAAGAAUAAAAUGAUCUAGGUUUUAAAAUUUGGCUUUGAUACUAACCACCUAUUGAUUACCUAAGGUCAAGCACGGUCUGGAAGCAGAUGAUCCUCCUUCUAAAGUACAGCCAUAAGGUCAAUGGUAGUCUAACGCUCAUCAUAGUGCCUGUGUCAUUCACCUCAUUUCAUCCUGCCAUGUAGGCGUCUAAUCAUCUCCCAGCAUCACAAGAAGGGUGAGUACAGUGCAAUAAAAUAUUUUGAGAAACCACAUUCACGUAACUUUUGUCGUAGCAUGCUGUUAUAAUCAUUCUAUUUUAUUAUUAGUUAUUGUUGUUAAUCUAACUAUACCUAAUUUAUAGAUUAAACUUUAUCACAGGCAUGUAGUAUAGGAAAAGCAUCCUACAUAUAUAGUUUUUUAUACUAUUUUUGAUACUAUGAUCUUGGAACAUAACCCUUGUGGAUGAGGGGGACUACUAUACGAAGUUUUGGUGUAAAUUUAAGUUUUCAUUUCUUGGGCUUAAAUACCCAGGACUAUAAAUGUUGGAUCAUAUGGUAGUUGCCUGUUCAGGUUUAUAAGAAACUGCCCAACUAUUUUCCAGAGAGGGUGAACCAUCUUACAUUGCCACCAGAAAUGUAGGAGUGAUUCAAUUUCUCCAAACCUAUAGACUUUAGGAACGAUAUUGUUAUUUGGGUUAUUGACAUUUCAGGCUUUAUUUAACGUGUUUUUUAUUGGGUGAAUGUAAUCUGCAGUACACUGAGCUGGGAACAAUGAAAGAUCCAAAGGUGAACAGGAAGCUGACUUUGCUCCAGGAGCCUUUAUCCCCCAGUGGAAGUAAAGCUGUAAACAAUAAACAAGAAAGAAUAAAAAUAGGUGGCACCUGGAGGUUCAACCAACAUACAGUGUAGGUGUGGUGGAAGGGGCCAUUAAAUCUGAGGGUGUCAGUGGGAGGCCUGAUGUAGGUGGCAAUUUCUGAGCAACUAUUGAAGAGUAAUGUAAUUGGAAAGGUAAAAAGAAAAAAAAAAUGUAGGAAAGCCACCCAGCAUUGAAAAUAUUUGUGUGCUGGUAGUACUAGGAGUGCUCUGACUCGGGCAUGGUGGGAGGGAUCCAGCAGUUCAAGAGAGAAACAGCCUUGAAGGAAGAUCAGGAGUAAACCCAAAUGACAUGAGCUGGACCUCAUUUGGUAUCUAAUGAGAAGUUGCUGAAGUUGGAGAGGAUGGAUACUACCUGGUCUGCAUUGUAAGAUAUUGAUGAUGUCAUAUUGAAAACUUAUGAGAUGGAGACAUGUGAGAAGCUACCAUGGUAGUUGAGGUGAGAGACGCUGAGAGCAUGAGCUCAUUGUGUCUUUGUGGUACUUUCUUUCAUUGUUUUGAAGUCUGCAAAUAAUGCACGUUCCUUUCAAGAGUCAGACAAUAAUGGAAAGGAAUGAACAAAAGUCACCCAGAGUGUCCUUACUCGGAAAUGACCAUAGUAAACAUUUUGUAAUAUUUUUUUAAGAUUUGGUUGCAAUCUGUAUCUGCACGUAUGUAUGCAUGUAUAUGUCGUUCUGAGCAGAUAUUGGUCAUGCUAUGUGUAAUGUUUAUUUUCCCAUCUACAGUAUAUUAUGUCAUCCUUUUAGAUUUAUAAAUGUAUUUACUCAGUAUCACUUGACAUUCUUUCUAUUGUAUGGAGAUACCACAACUUAAUCAACCUCUCCCUACUAAAGGAUAUUUAGGUGUUUUUGUUUUGUUUUGUUUUUCUAUUUCUAGCAGUGUUCUUUUAAUUCAAACACUUUACAGAUUUGGAAUCAAAUAUAAAAUUCAGUAUCUGUGGUUUUCCUCUCUUGUUUGUGCCCAUGGAAGAAGGAGUGGGGCCUCCAGAUAAAACAUGCUGAGAUGCUCAACACCACUUUGUACUGGCAUCACACAUCAAGUAGCCUUGCUGCAUCUCUCAAACUCUGAAAAUAGCAUGGCUUAGAUUGAAUUAGAGGCCAAAAAAGCUGGUGCUUUUCUGGUUGCUACAAGGUCUACUCAAGGUCUUUUGACCUAGAUUGAAUUUCCAAAGAUGAAAUGUGCAUUAAGUUAUCCAGGGAUCUUUUUACAAAUGAAGGUGCUAAGGACCAACUACAAAAGAUUGUGAUUUACUAGUUCUGAAGUAGAGUCAGGAGACUAUAUAUUUUUUUAUUCUUCCCCAGGUAUUCUGAUAUACAGCCAAGGUAAAAACCAUGGUUCUGGACCUGUCUUUCCACUCUGGCAUGGCUCCCUCCACUGGCUAUGAGUUUACUAAAGUGGUGCUAGAAUAUUUCAUGCUGGGGGGAUGGCUGAGUGAUGGUGGUGUGAGCUGCUUCUUUAUUGGGAGGUUUGGUGUCUUCAGCUGGAAGGGAGCCAGACUCCUGCUGACCACCAGCAGGUUGAGGGCAGAGAUACUUUUGAGAUGGCAAGUUUUUAUAAAAACCUUUAAAUCUGGGACUGGGUUUUAAAUAAUAUCCUACCAGGUGUUGAACUGCUGUUUUCCCAAAUUAUUUACUGAUCCGUCUAAUUGGGUGGUGAAGGCAACAACAUCCCUGUCAGUAGACAGUAAAAAUGGAUAUCUGGGUGGACAGGACUAUCCCUUCUCUGAGCCCAUGUUUUACAUGGGUGGGGUUAGUACUGUGAUCCUGAAGGAAGACAAGGUAGAAGCAUCUCAGAGUAGGGGCAAAAAGGCACAGAUGAGAAGGCUCAGGUUGCUGAGGGCAGACUUUGCCUACUGGAUUCUUCUCCUGGGAAGGCUGUGCAAAGGACAUUGAC
Long non-coding RNA from Acinonyx jubatus (cheetah), 6605 nucleotides. RefSeq lists it as uncharacterized. The transcript has 11 exons. NCBI's taxonomy places the organism in Eukaryota, Metazoa, Chordata, Mammalia, Carnivora, Felidae. The record is from RefSeq and is a predicted model, not a curated record.